GGGUCAGUAGGUUGGUCGUGCCACCGGUACGUACUGGUCUCACUGACUCCUCCUUCCUGAAGAACCGUAAUGCCAUUAACUUGGUGUUGCGGGGAAACAGGACUGUUACUUUGAAAAAAUUAGAGUGUUUAAAGCAAGCUAACGCUUGAAUACAUUAGCAUGGAAUAAUGAAAUAGGACGAUCGAUCCUAUUUUGUUGGUUUCUAGGAUUGACGUA
This 216-nucleotide ribosomal RNA is filed under the name Glomeromycotina sp. RNAcentral's name for it is "partial small subunit ribosomal RNA". The stretch from base 87 to 216 matches the Rfam family "Eukaryotic small subunit ribosomal RNA", at positions 733 to 864 of the family's 1831-position model. The record is from RNAcentral. Lineage: Eukaryota; Fungi; Glomeromycota.